Molecule: small RNA, 80 nt
Filed under: Flavobacterium xanthum
Lineage: Bacteria; Pseudomonadati; Bacteroidota; Flavobacteriia; Flavobacteriales; Flavobacteriaceae
Also listed under: 1 other name
Description: Flavo-1 RNA
Rfam family: Flavo-1 RNA
Source: RNAcentral
UUUUAGCCGCGAUGGAAAUGGAAAUCCUUUUCUUUUUUUCUUUAAAAAAGAAAAGAUUGGAGUGUACAGCGGGAACAGCU